Molecule: long non-coding RNA, 4102 nt
Organism: Manis javanica (Malayan pangolin)
Lineage: Eukaryota; Metazoa; Chordata; Mammalia; Pholidota; Manidae
Source: RefSeq, a predicted model, not a curated record
AUUGGAGUUCACUGUAUUUUAUGUAGGGAGAGUGAGAAAGGCCAGCCGCCCUUCUCUGACUCACGUCUGCCUUUCAGAGAGCAGGUGUUCACCUGGGUGUCACUAAACUGUACAACAGUUCAGACAGCCCCUCGGAGCCCCUGGCAUCAGAGGUCAGAGGCAGUUUUGCAGGGCAUAGCAGCAACCUCUGAGACUUCAGUGUCUUUCAAAAUAAUAUUUUUGACAGAAAAUGGUGAAGUAAGAAGCUCCGGAGGUCAGUCUCUCACCAUGGAAACAACCACUUGAUGAAGGACUGCUGGACUUCUACAGUUGAGGAAACCUUUGCCAGGUCACACACUGGCCACCAAAACAACGGGCAGAAGUGUCAGUGACGGUGCACAGCAAGGAACACAGGUUUUGCAAAAGUAGUUUGGAAAUGUCACUAUAGAAACCAAAGACUACAGCCCUCCACAAGCAACUAGAGCAAUCCCUGAGAAGGGGGAGAAUCUCAUUUCCAGAUUAUAUUCAUAGCCAGUUCUCAACAAGUUACAAAAACAGGAAAAAGAGCGCUUUUUCAGGAAGAGAAAGAAUUUGACAGGAACUAUCCCUGAAGAAGCCCAGAUGUUGAAAAUACUAGUCAAAAAGACAUGUCCACUGUCUGUAAUGUUCCAUGAGCUAAAGGAAACUUGGACAGGAAACUAAAGGAAAUCAAGAGAAUGAGGUACAAAUAGGGAAUUGAAUAAAAAUACAGGAAUUAUAAAAGGAACCAAAUAGAAAUUCUGGAGCUGAAAAAUAUAAUAGCUAAAAAUGAAGAACUCAUUAGAGGGGUUUGAUUGCAGAUUAGAGCAGGCAGAAGAAAGAAUUAAUGAGCUUGAUUAAAAAGCAAUGAAAUUACUCUGCCUGAGGAGCAGAAAGGAAAAAAGAAAAAUGAGCAGGCCCCGAGGGACUUUGGCGACAUCAAAUGCAACAACAUACGCACAAUGAGAGUCUGAAAGGAGCAGAGAGAUUUGAGUUAAGGGCUGAAAGGUCCCCAAAUUUGAUGAAAGACAUAAAUGUACACAUUCAGAAACUCGAGUGAACUACAGCAUAAACUCAGAGCCACAGCAAGACGUGUAAGCAAAUUGUCAAAAGAGAGAAAAAAGUCUUGAAGCAGCUCAUCACGUACAGCGGCUCCCUAAUGACAUCGACAGCAGGUUUCUCAUCAGAAAUGAAGGCGGCCAGAGGGCAGUGGGAUGACGUGUUUACAUUCAAAGAGCUGAAAGAAAAACAAGUCUAUAUUCAGCAAACUUACCUUUAAGAAUGAAGGGAAAUUUAAACACUCCCAGUUAAGGGAGUUCGUUAGUAGACCCGCCUAUCAAAUGUACUAAAGGGAGCCCCUCAGGCUGAAUGAAAGAACAGUAGUAGAGGUAACCAAUAGGUGAUUAUAAAUGUAUUGUUGCACUUUUGGCUUGUAACUCCACUUUUUUCCUAUAUGAUUUAAAAGGCAAAUUGACAAAAAAUGAGUAUAAGUCUGUGUUAAUGGGAACAGCACUAAUAAAGAUAGAAUCUGUGACAACACAGGAAGAGAUGGUGGUACGCAGGAGCCGAGAGUGCCCUACUGAAACAGGGUUGGUAUCAAACCAGGUGGUUUUGAGGUCAAGGUGGUCAUUGUAAUCCCAAAGAUAACCAAUGAGGAAUAUUUUUUAGCAAUAUACAGGCAAGGGAAGAAGGGGAUGAAAAUGGUGCACUGUAGAAAAUAAACUAAAUCCGUAAAAAGCAGUAAAAGUAGAAUUGAGGAACAAAAAGGCAUAUUAGACAGACACAAAUAGCUAAAUGAAAGAAGCAAGAACUGGUCGGUAAUUACUAUAAAUAUAAGUGGGCUAAACUCCAAUCAAAAGACAGAGUUUGACAAGAUGGAUUUUUUAAAAAAAUGCUCUCCCUAUAUGCUAUAUUCAAAGAGACUCACCUUGAAUACAAGAUAUAAAAAGGUUGAAAGUAAAAGGAUGGGGAAAGAUAAUCCAUGAAAACAGUAAAGGAGAGCUGGGGUGGCUUUAUUAUUGUCAGACAAAAUUGGUUUUAAGUCAAAAAGGUCACAAGACAAGGUCAGUAUAUAUUAAUAAAAGGUUCCGUUUAAGAAGAAAUAACAAUUGUAAACAUACCUGCUCACAAAAUAUAUGAAGCAAAAAUUGACAUAAUUGAAGGGAGUUGGAGACAAAUACCUCACUUCUGGUAAUGGCUAGAAGAAAAACACAUGGAAGGUCGCUAAGGAGAGAGGGCUUGAACCACCUCCAACCUGAGAGGCCCCGCAAGAGCAGGCAGCACACUGCAAGCAGAAGACACCUCACAAGGGUCAUGGGACAUUCUCCAAGGCAUACCAUUUACUAGGCCACACAGCUACAUAAACUUAAAAAGAUUGAAAACACAUAAAGUAUCUUUUUCAGUCACAGGGGAAUAAAUUCAGAAGCCAACUGCAGAAGGAAAGCUGGAAUACUCAUGUGGAAGUCAAACCAGGUCAAGGAGAAAUCACAAGAGAGAGAAAAUGCCUUGAGAUGAAUACAAACAAAAAAAACCCCACACCAAGUCUUAAUGGGAUGCAGCAAAAAGCGGUGCUAAGAGAACACUUUAUAGCGGUAGACACGUUAAAAAAGAAACAUUUCAAGUCAAACACCUAACUAUACACCUUAAGAAGCUAGAAAAAAAUGCAAACUAAACCUGAAGCCAGCAGAAGGAAAGAAAUACUAGAGACGAUAGUGGAGACGAACGGAAUAGAGAAAAACCAUGAGAAAAAAAAAUCAACAAAACCAAAAAUUGGUUCUUUGAAAAGAUCAACAAACUAAGACUAAUUAGGAAGAAAAGCAGGAAAGACUCAAAAUCGGAAAUGAAAAUGGAAACAUGACUACCGACUUCACAGGAAUCAAGGGGCUUGUCACAGUACUGUGCACAACCUUAUGCCAACACAUACACCGGAAUAUGAUUCUGCCACCAGAAGGAAUGGAAUUCUGGUACAUGCAACAACGUGCAUAGAUCCUGAAAACUAAUGACUCCACUUAGAAGAAAUAUCUACAUUAGACAAGUGGAUUAGGACAGAAAGUAGAAUAGAUCAUGAAGGGUGGCCCGUAAGCACUAGAGUCCCGUCCACCUCGGGGCAAGAAUUCCUGCAGCAAGCCGGUCUCUGCCUCCCUCUUCACCCCGCAACCGUCUCAGUCUCUGUCCUCGGAGCCGCCACCACCCCAGCCUCUGCUCCCCCGCGGCCGUGCAGCCAGAGCGCUGGGCGGAGCUCUUUAUAUAGGGCAAUUAUAAGGCAUGCGUGGCCACUCAUCUGGGCCGGGCUCUGAUGCAUCUGGGUGAGGGCUGAUUUGCCAGGAUAAGAAUGCUAAUUCUGGUCAGUGAGAGACCCCCACCCUCUCCCUCUGGCCAAGAUGAAUCCCAGCCUGUGUGGUUCUGAGGCUCAUCGGCUCGAACAGUCACCACUUUACAGACUCGGUCGUUGGUACCGACUUGCCGUCCUGGGUAGCUGAGCUACAGCCCUUCGAGCUUCAAGGCCCUGGGACGCUGCGUUCUUCCUCCAAGCCUGUGCUUUGAUUAUGUCAGGCCGUGGUGGUGGUCUAAACCUUUCCUGUGGGUUUAAACAGCCUUACCAACGGAUACUGAAGGGCGCCGAACAGAUGCUGCCCUGAGCUCCCCUAAGCACCCCUGGGCUUCACCACGAUGGGAGCUAAAUGCUUGACACCUGGCCCGGCCAGGCGCCCCCAGGACCCUGAUGGCCUCCAGCUGUGGUUCGGAAAGGGACAGAGAGUGGCUGGCUUCUCCCUGGUGCUGCUGCUUCCCCCCCACAUGCAGCAGGACUGCUGCUCAGGACUCCAGAAUCUUCUCUCCUCUAAGCCCUUACCACCACCACGUGUGACUGAAGAAGGGCCAAGGGCCGGUUCCCUGGUCACAACACAGAUGUCACUCCUGCACUCAAGAGAACUUGGGUGUGGCUGGGCUCCACUGGUCCACGUGCAGAGCCCAGCCCUGCCUCGGGUGGAGCCCAGCCCUCCCAGCCGGCAGCCUGGUGCAGGGAGCUGCACCUGAGCCCCGCCCAGGUGCCCUCCACUUCGUGAACCCUGUUUCCUCCUCUCUAAAGUGAGGAUGGUUCUGUCCG